This 438-nucleotide ribosomal RNA is filed under the name uncultured bacterium. RNAcentral's name for it is "bacterial SSU rRNA". It matches the Rfam family "Bacterial small subunit ribosomal RNA", at positions 62 to 499 of the family's 1533-position model. The record is from RNAcentral.
UCGAACGAAGCACCUGAGAAUGAUUCUUCGGAUGAAGUCUCUUGUGACUGAGUGGCGGACGGGUGAGUAACGCGUGGGUAACCUGCCUCACACAGGGGGAUAACAGUUGGAAACGACCGCUAAUACCGCAUAACCCGCUGGUGCCGCAUGGCACUGACGGAAAAGAUUUAUCGGUGUGAGAUGGACCCGCGUCUGAUUAGCCAGUUGGCAGGGUAACGGCCUACCAAAGCGACGAUCAGUAGCCGGCCUGAGAGGGUGAACGGCCACAUUGGGACUGAGACACGGCCCAGACUCCUGCGGGAGGCAGCAGUGGGGAAUAUUGCACAAUGGGGGAAACCCUGAUGCAGCGACGCCGCGUGAGUGAAGAAGUAUUUCGGCAUGUAAAGCUCCUAUCCGCAGGGAAGAAAACGACGGUACCUGAUUAACAAGCCCCGGCUA